GUGCUCAUGUCAGCAGCGCAUAUCCUAAAACUGGAAUGAUACAGAGAAGACUAGGAUGGCCCCUGCGCAA
This 70-nucleotide small nuclear RNA is filed under the name Tupaia belangeri (northern tree shrew). Lineage: Eukaryota; Metazoa; Chordata; Mammalia; Scandentia; Tupaiidae. The record is from RNAcentral.